UACGUAGGGGGCUAGCGUUGUCCGGAAUCAUUGGGCGUAAAGCGCGUGUAGGCGGCCCGGCAAGUCCGCUGUGAAAGUCGGGGGCUCAACCCUCGGAUGCCGGUGGAUACUGUCGGGCUCGAGUACGGAAGAGGCGAGUGGAAUUCCUGGUGUAGCGGUGAAAUGCGCAGAUAUCAGGAGGAACACCAAUUGCGAAGGCAGCUCGCUGGGACGUUACUGACGCUGAGACGCGAAAGCGUGGGGAGCAAACAGG
RNAcentral lists this ribosomal RNA (253 nucleotides) under uncultured bacterium. RNAcentral describes it as "partial 16S ribosomal RNA". It matches the Rfam family "Bacterial small subunit ribosomal RNA", at positions 524 to 776 of the family's 1533-position model. The record is from RNAcentral.